This 700-nucleotide ribosomal RNA is filed under the name Bacillus tequilensis. RNAcentral describes it as "bacterial SSU rRNA". The stretch from base 1 to 514 matches the Rfam family "Bacterial small subunit ribosomal RNA", at positions 48 to 546 of the family's 1533-position model. Lineage: Bacteria; Bacillati; Bacillota; Bacilli; Caryophanales; Bacillaceae. The record is from RNAcentral.
UCUAUACAUGCAGUCGAGCGGAAGAUGGGAGCUUGCUCCCUGAUGUUAGCGGCGGACGGGUGAGUAACACGUGGGUAACCUGCCUGUAAGACUGGGAUAACUCCGGGAAACCGGGGCUAAUACCGGAUGCUUGUUUGAACCGCAUGGUUCAAACAUAAAAGGUGGCUUCGGCUACCACUUACAGAUGGACCCGCGGCGCAUUAGCUAGUUGGUGAGGUAAUGGCUCACCAAGGCAACGAUGCGUAGCCGACCUGAGAGGGUGAUCGGCCACACUGGGACUGAGACACGGCCCAGACUCCUACGGGAGGCAGCAGUAGGGAAUCUUCCGCAAUGGACGAAAGUCUGACGGACCAACGCCGCGUGAUUGAUGAAGGUUUUCGGAUCGUAAAGCUCUGUUGUUAGGGAAGAACAAGUACCGUUCGAAUAGGGCGGUACCUUGACGGUACCUAACCAGAAAGCCACGGCUAACUACGUGCCAGCAGCGGCGUAAAUACGUAGGUGGCAAGCCUUGUCCAUAAUUAUGGUCCGUGGGGGGUCGGCGGCUUUUUUAUUAAGUAUGAUGUAAAACCCCCGCGCCUCAACGGAGGGGGGUAGUUAAAAGGGGGAUUAACUUCAGUGCAAAGGAGGAGAGGAAUUGCCCCGCGGUAUUGGAGGAAAUGGGGAAGAGAUGUGGGAGAAAAGCAGUGAGUGUUAGCUGAUC